This 1372-nucleotide ribosomal RNA is filed under the name uncultured bacterium. RNAcentral's name for it is "bacterial SSU rRNA". It matches the Rfam family "Bacterial small subunit ribosomal RNA", at positions 28 to 1381 of the family's 1533-position model. The record is from RNAcentral.
GAUGAACGCUGGCGGCGUGCCUAAUACAUGCAAGUCGAGCGAACGGACGAGAAGCUUGCUUCUCUGAUGUUAGCGGCGGACGGGUGAGUAACACGUGGAUAACCUACCUAUAAGACUGGGAUAACUUCGGGAAACCGGAGCUAAUACCGGAUAAUAUUUUGAACCGCAUGGUUCAAAAGUGAAAGACGGUCUUGCUGUCACUUAUAGAUGGAUCCGCGCUGCAUUAGCUAGUUGGUAAGGUAACGGCUUACCAAGGCAACGAUGCAUAGCCGACCUGAGAGGGUGAUCGGCCACACUGGAACUGAGACACGGUCCAGACUCCUACGGGAGGCAGCAGUAGGGAAUCUUCCGCAAUGGGCGAAAGCCUGACGGAGCAACGCCGCGUGAGUGAUGAAGGUCUUCGGAUCGUAAAACUCUGUUAUUAGGGAAGAACAUAUGUGUAAGUAACUGUGCACAUCUUGACGGUACCUAAUCAGAAAGCCACGGCUAACUACGUGCCAGCAGCCGCGGUAAUACGUAGGUGGCAAGCGUUAUCCGGAAUUAUUGGGCGUAAAGCGCGCGUAGGCGGUUUUUUAAGUCUGAUGUGAAAGCCCACGGCUCAACCGUGGAGGGUCAUUGGAAACUGGAAAACUUGAGUGCAGAAGAUGAAAGUGGAAUUCCAUGUGUAGCGGUGAAAUGCGCAGAGAUAUGGAGGAACACCUGUGGCGAAGGCGACUUUCUGGUCUGUAACUGACGCUGAUGUGCGAAAGCGUGGGGAUCAAACAGGAUUAGAUACCCUGGUAGUCCACGCCGUAAACGAUGAGUGCUAAGUGUUAGGGGGUUUCCGCCCCUUAGUGCUGCAGCUAACGCAUUAAGCACUCCGCCUGGGGAGUACGACCGCAAGGUUGAAACUCAAAGGAAUUGACGGGGACCCGCACAAGCGGUGGAGCAUGUGGUUUAAUUCGAAGCAACGCGAAGAACCUUACCAAAUCUUGACAUCCUUUGACAACUCUAGAGAUAGAGCCUUCCCCUUCGGGGGACAAAGUGACAGGUGGUGCAUGGUUGUCGUCAGCUCGUGUCGUGAGAUGUUGGGUUAAGUCCCGCAACGAGCGCAACCCUUAAGCUUAGUUGCCAUCAUUAAGUUGGGCACUCUAAGUUGACUGCCGGUGACAAACCGGAGGAAGGUGGGGAUGACGUCAAAUCAUCAUGCCCCUUAUGAUUUGGGCUACACACGUGCUACAAUGGACAAUACAAAGGGCAGCGAAACCGCGAGGUCAAGCAAAUCCCAUAAAGUUGUUCUCAGUUCGGAUUGUAGUCUGCAACUCGACUACAUGAAGCUGGAAUCGCUAGUAAUCGUAGAUCAGCAUGCUACGGUGAAUACGUUCCCGGGUCU